Xenia sp. Carnegie-2017 is the source of this 833-nucleotide long non-coding RNA. RefSeq lists it as uncharacterized. The record is from RefSeq and is a predicted model, not a curated record. The transcript is spliced from 3 exons. NCBI's taxonomy places the organism in Eukaryota, Metazoa, Cnidaria, Anthozoa, Malacalcyonacea, Xeniidae.
UGGAUUUCAUCGUGGUUGUCGUGGAUUUCAUCGUGGCUGUCGUGGAUUACAUCGUGGCUGUCGUGGAUUACAUCGUGGCUGUCGUGGAUUACAUCGUGGCUGUCGUGGAUUACGUCAUGGUUGUCGUGGAUUACAUCGUGGCUGUCGUGGAUUACGUCAUGGUUGUCGUGGAUUACAUCGUGGCUGUCGUGGAUUUCAUCGUGGUUGUCGUGGAUUACAUCGUGGCUGUCGUGGAUUACGUCGUGGCUGUCGUGGAUUACGUCAUGGUUGUCGUGGAUUACAUCGUGGCUGUCGUGGAUUACGUCAUGGUUGUCGUGGAUUACAUCGUGGCUGUCGUGGAUUUUGUCAAACUAAUAUUGGGCUAAGGAUUACGUUAAUCUAUGAAUGAAGAACGACGACGAGCAAUGGUGUGAUAAUCAAACGUUAACUUACCGUUCAUAAACUUUGUUGUUUCACUUCAAAAUCUAUUUGACAUUGUGCCACACGAGUUAAAAAACACACGAUAAUUUCAUGGUGGUUUGUUGAAUUAUGAUAUGUAUCAAGAUUUGAGUAAAGCUGUAUGAGGGAAUCACAAAAGUUAUCAACAGAAUAAAUCCUAACACUACGUGGAAAAUAAAUAUAGUAAUUUCCACUUCAUCAACAAACAUUACGCUUCAUUUGUUGAUUGUCAGAGUAUGUUUCAUCCUAUGAACAAAACCACCUUACACAACACUGCUGGAAGUUUUGAAGAGGCAGUUGGUGCUCAUGACGAUCAAUCUAUAGUGAAAGAAGAAUGCAAUGGUGGCACAUUGUGAUUCAUACAUGGCAUCAUUGUAUCAUGUAUGUCGUGGGUC